UACGUAGGGUGCGAGCGUUAAUCGGAAUUACUGGGCGUAAAGCGUGCGCAGGCGGCGCGUUAAGACAGGUGUGAAAGCCCCGAGCUUAACUUGGGAAUUGCGCUUGUGACUGGCGUGCUGGAGUGUGGCAGAGGGAGGUGGAAUUCCACGUGUAGCAGUGAAAUGCGUAGAGAUGAUGGAGGAACACCGAUGGCGAAGGCAGCCUCCUGGGCCAGCACUGACGCUCAUGCACGAAGCG
Molecule: ribosomal RNA, 238 nt
Filed under: uncultured bacterium
Lineage: Bacteria
Description: partial 16S ribosomal RNA
Rfam family: Bacterial small subunit ribosomal RNA
Source: RNAcentral